RNAcentral lists this ribosomal RNA (274 nucleotides) under uncultured prokaryote. RNAcentral describes it as "partial 16S ribosomal RNA". It matches the Rfam family "Bacterial small subunit ribosomal RNA", at positions 526 to 800 of the family's 1533-position model. The record is from RNAcentral.
CGUAGGGGGCCAGCGUUAUCCGGAAUUACUGGGCGUAAAGGGUGCGUAGGUGGUUUCUUAAGUCAGAGGUGAAAGGCUACGGCUCAACCGUAGUAAGCCUUUGAAACUGAGAAACUUGAGUGCGGGAGAGGAGAGUAGAAUUCCUAGUGUAGCGGUGAAAUGCGUAGAUAUUAGGAGGAAUACCAGUUGCGAAGGCGGCUCUCUGGACUGUAACUGACACUGAGGCACGAAAGCGUGGGGAGCAAACAGGAUUAGAUACCCUGGUAGUCCCUGA